Molecule: ribosomal RNA, 497 nt
Filed under: uncultured bacterium
Lineage: Bacteria
Description: partial 16S ribosomal RNA
Rfam family: Bacterial small subunit ribosomal RNA
Source: RNAcentral
GACGAACGCUGGCGGCGUGCCUAAUACAUGCAAGUUGAGCGCUGAAGGUUGGUACUUGUACCAACUGGAUGAGCAGCGAACGGGUGAGUAACGCGUGGGGAAUCUGCCUUUGAGCGGGGGACAACAUUUGGAAACGAAUGCUAAUACCGCAUAAAAACUUUAAACACAAGUUUUAAGUUUGAAAGAUGCAAUUGCAUCACUCAAAGAUGAUCCCGCGUUGUAUUAGCUAGUUGGUGAGGUAAAGGCUCACCAAGGCGAUGAUACAUAGCCGACCUGAGAGGGUGAUAGGCCACAUUGGGACUGAGACACGGCUCAAACUCCUACGGGAGGCAGCAGUAGGGAAUCUUCGGCAAUGGACGCAAGUCUGACCGAGCAACGCCGCGUGAGUGAAGAAGGUUUUCGGACCGUAAAACUCUGUUGGUAGAGAAGAACGUUGGUGAGAGUGGAAAGCUCAUAAAGUGACGGUAACUACCCAGAAAGGGACGGCUAACUACGUG